Long non-coding RNA from Triticum aestivum (bread wheat), 281 nucleotides. RefSeq lists it as uncharacterized. The transcript has 3 exons. NCBI's taxonomy places the organism in Eukaryota, Viridiplantae, Streptophyta, Magnoliopsida, Poales, Poaceae. The record is from RefSeq and is a predicted model, not a curated record.
UCAUCCUCCUCCUUCCCCGUAUCACCCUCCGCCUCGAAGCUCCUGACCCAUCUGGCAACGGCAACGGCAACAGCGGCGGCGGCGGCAGCGGCAGCGGCAGACACCUACUUCGACCAAGAUCCAAGAACAUGAGCACCGGCCAUCUUAAAGCCCACCAUCAACAAUCUCGAAUUGGUGCAUUGAAGGGGAUCAGUUUGUAGUAAUGGGUAUCAUCAAUGUUUCCUUGUGCCAAUUGGUUUCAGAAAUUAAAUCUGAAGUAUGGGCAUCAGUAUACGGACGAC